AGAUAGUGUGCAAAAAGGACCGUAUUUUCUAUUUAAAAUUUUUAUUUAUUUAUUUUUAUAGGACAGUACUCUCUUCAUCUUGAUGCAAUUCUCAUCUCUCCUAUAUUCAGUCUUAAAAUGAAUCUAAAGAUAAGAGGAACAUCAUUGCAGAGAACUACUCAUAAGCUCACAACUUGUUCCACCAAAAGCUGAUUGCAAAGUGCUCACCUGGUUCAACUGCUAGGGGAAGUUAUUUACUAUGAGACACAUCAGACAUGACUGAAGUGAAGAGCUGAAGGAAGCCACACUUGAUUUAGAGCCAAAGGACCUAGAAUCAAAUUCCAAAUCUGUUGGUUCCUAACUGAUUGGCCUUGAAGAAAUUGUUCAACCCCUCUGGGCUCAGUCCUCAUCUCUAAAUUGAGGGAAUUGGAUUAAACCAACUCUGAAGUCCU
This 431-nucleotide long non-coding RNA is filed under the name Monodelphis domestica (gray short-tailed opossum). RNAcentral's name for it is "lncRNA (ENSMODG00000030887.2)". The record is from RNAcentral. Lineage: Eukaryota; Metazoa; Chordata; Mammalia; Didelphimorphia; Didelphidae.